Molecule: ribosomal RNA, 473 nt
Filed under: uncultured bacterium
Lineage: Bacteria
Description: SSU rRNA
Rfam family: Bacterial small subunit ribosomal RNA
Source: RNAcentral
AGGAUGAACGCUGGCGGCGUGCCUAAUACAUGCAAGUCGAGCGGCAGCGCGGUCUUCGGACUGGCGGCGAGCGGCGGACGGCUGAGUAACGCGUAGGAAUGUACCCCAAAGUGAGGGAUAAGCACCAGAAAUGGUGUCUAAUACCGCAUGUGAUCUAUGGAUUAAAGCUUCGGCGCUUUGGGAACAGCCUGCGUAUGAUUAGCUUGUUGGUGAGGUAAUAGCUCACCAAGGCGACGAUCAUUAGCUGGUCUGAGAGGAUGAUCAGCCAGACUGGGACUGAGACACGGCCCAGACUCCUACGGGAGGCAGCAGUAGGGAAUUUUCCACAAUGGGCGAAAGCCUGAUGGAGCAACGCCGCGUGCAGGAUGAAGGCCUUCGGGUUGUAACCCCUUUCAGCAGGGACGAAGCGAAAGUGACGGUACCUGCAGAAGAAGCGCCGGCUAACUACGUGCCAGCAGCCGCGGUAAUCGUGA